GUUGAGUUUGCUUAUGAGUUUGCUAAGUUUAUUUAGGAAGUAACCGUUGGUUUGACGACUAUAAAUAAGUUUGCAGACAUGUAGAUGAGGAGUAACUAAAAAUUGAUUGUGUUUGUGGUGAUAUCUCCUACACAAAUUGGAGACUUUAUUGCAAUUUAAAUAUUUUCAGCUUGAGUUUUUUCUUUUGUAGCUUUGAUUUCUGAUCAUCAAAACUGGUUCUGGAGUCAUUUAUAAUAAGGUGUCUGGCAGAUGUUUUUAUACCUACUGAGGUUUGGUGGCAGAGUCAUUUAUAAUAAGGUUUAGAUACAAAUAAACAAGCAUAGAGAGGAGACAGAGUAGCAGUUUAAACAAGAACUGAGAUUUGGUGGUAGCAUGGUAGAGUUAACAACUAACAAAUCAAAAGUUCAUUCUCCGAAGACAUUCACAACCACUAAAAUAGAACCAACUAGCAAAUAUGGAAAUAAUAGUGCCAUUAAAAUAGAACCAAAAAAUACAUCUUUAGGCAGAUUACGCAUGCUCGUAUCAAAAGGAAAUAGUACACGAACACAUCAAACUCCUAGAGAAUACAAGCUACUAAUAUGGAAUAUUAUGAAGGUGCAAAAACAAUGACACUCUAAGUGACAACUUAGCCAAUAUCCCAGAUUACUAAACUUCUUUAACUCUUAGAUAAUUAUAAUUUAGCACAAUCUGGUCUUGAAUAAAUUUACUUGGGCCAGAGUUGCACUACUUUUAAUAAUUAAAGAUAAAGAAAUCAACCAGACAAAUCGGAAGAUUUCUCCAUCCAGUAAGCUUAAACUAAUCUAAUUUUCAUAGAUAUUACUCAUUCUAGACUUUAGAAAAGAACAAAAGUCAAAAUUAUGUGCAAGGAUAUUUUACACCAUUUCACUAUUUCUGUUCUAUUAAUGGAUUCAAAUUAGGAACCUUGGUUCCAUAUCUUUAGCUAUGCCAUACCAAACAUGGGAUAUUCAACAGAAAUUCCACCCAUAUAUUCCCAAGUGAAUUCUGUUCUAUUGAAAAUCACUUACUAAAUUAUUAACAUUAUUGCGUCUGCUUUUCCUAAUCCCCUGAAGGUCUCACUCAUCAAUUGCUGCUAUAUUCUUUCUUUCUUGCAAUUACAUGAAGCCGAACUGAGUUCUAAGAUAGAGUUCUCUUGUGCCUGUGUCUUCUUGGAUCUCGUCUAUGUAUAAGGAUUGGGUUGGAACUCGUUUGAAGCUUUGGUUAUAAAAUCAUUUACACAACUUUUGGACAUUUUGAUAGUUCUUUUUGUUGUAAACCAUUUUUCUUUGGUUAGAUAGUGUAUAUCUUUGAAUUGGAUUACUUAUUGUGUUUUGAUGAAGUAAUAGUAUAU
Molecule: long non-coding RNA, 1348 nt
Filed under: Olea europaea subsp. europaea
Lineage: Eukaryota; Viridiplantae; Streptophyta; Magnoliopsida; Lamiales; Oleaceae
Source: RNAcentral